Small nuclear RNA from Rhinolophus ferrumequinum (greater horseshoe bat), 119 nucleotides. Its record names the gene U5. It matches the Rfam family "U5 spliceosomal RNA". Rfam says of the family: U5 RNA is a component of both types of known spliceosome. The precise function of this molecule is unknown, though it is known that the 5' loop is required for splice site selection and p220 binding, and that both the 3' stem-loop and the Sm site are important for Sm protein binding and cap methylation. The record is from Ensembl. NCBI's taxonomy places the organism in Eukaryota, Metazoa, Chordata, Mammalia, Chiroptera, Rhinolophidae.
AUACUCUGGUUUCUCUUCAGAUCGUAUAAAUCUUUCGCCUUUUACUAAAGAUUUCCGUGGAGAGGAACAAUUCUGAGUUUAUACCUAAUUUUUUGAGGCCUUGCAUUUUUUGCAGGGCU